UUUCUUCUUUCUGUUUUUUGGUGCAAUAGUUCUAAGGUCUUUCACCAGAGAAGUAAACUGGUGGAUAUGGAAUAUCAGUGUUAUCCCUUUAUCAAUGUUGUCAGCUAAAAGUCACCAAAAUAAGGGAAAAGGAAAAACAACAUUCAUUUCUCAAAGGUAAGAAUUUAGUCCAACAAAAAAGUCAACUCUCUCAGUCGAAAAGGAGAUAAGUCAGGUAAAAUUCCUUCAAACAGACUGAAGUCGCAAACCUCCCAUUGACAUCUAAGAAUUUUAGAAUUCCUUUCUCCGAUUUCCUACCAACUGGCAUCAAGAAUGAUUCCUCUAGCAUUCUAGACCAAGUCAAGAACAAAAUCUUAAUUAUAUGCAAAUGAGAGUUGCUUGGACUAAGAAAUAAGACUGCAUUGGGAUCUUAUAAGCUUCAUAUAUCACACACAUAUGCAGACCUGCUUGACCAAAUUCCAAAAAAUUGACCAAGAUCACGAUCCUGAUGUAUAAUUUGAUUAGGUCUUAGCCAAGCCUAAGACAACAAGUGAUCUAUUUAUGUUCUUAAAACAAAACUUGCCUUUAUAUACAUCAAACAGAUAAUAUAUAUGUUGGUGUCUAUAGUAGAUUAAGUAGUGUAGAUAAUUGUUGGGAUGCCCCUUCAUGCUGUUGCAUGUUUGUCUCCUGAAAGAAAAUUUACUUAUGAAGGCCACAAAGACUCAGCUAUGCUAUGUACAUUAUGCAGCUGAAUUUGGAGCACCAAAGAUACACCAAUCAUAGGAAUAGCAGUUGCCAACAUGAAUCCAUUAACCAUCUGAAAACAUACCCAAAAAGAGAAGGCAGGGUGUUAAAGCCAAAAGAUUCAAAUUAUUCUGAAACCAACUUCUUCACUCGUGAACUGGCUUCAAGUUGGAUUCGUACAAGCUUAGGUUAAUAUGGGCCCGUGGACAGAGAAAGCAAAGGGGGAGGGCGGCUGCUACGGUGCUACCCUCAAUCUCCAGAGCCAACAAGCCCUCCUUUGAGGCAUCUCCUCUUGUUCCUACACUUCUUGGCUUUGGCCCUAUUAUUGCCAAAAUCAUGAAGAAACGGGGUUUAAUUUUAUUUAUAUUAUAAACCAGUAUUUAGCACAUGCACUGACAUGAAACGGAUAUACGAUCUAUAAUAUCUCGCCAUUAUAUAACUUCUAAAAUUGUAUACGAAGAAAAUCUCUCUCUCUCGUGAUGGGUUUCAUCCAUUGAUGCUUUGAUAAAACCAUUAACAUAAAGAAGAAUCAGCAGUCAAUAAAAAGAAAUAAAUAAAACAAGCAUUCUUUCCCAAAAAAUCAUUGCAUACCUUAAAUUGGGUGUGGGGAUUGCCAAGUCGUUGCAGCAGCUGCUUCAUCCUCCCAAGAUCAAAAUCAUCAUCAGUAUCCGUUCCAGUCCCUUUAAGCACACCAAUCGCUCAUGAUUCUUGAGCUUCUCCAUGUAAUCCAAGAAAUCGGCCGAGCAGCGGAUCCUCCAACCUUGCUGACCGCAUCCUCGAUCAUCCCACUCAUAUGGCAAAACGGGAAAAUCGAUCUUGCAAGGCAUUGCAUCCCUCUUUUCACUGCAUCAAAACUAAUAAAGAAAUUCUUAUCGUAAUCAAAAGAAACCAAAAGUGGCUGUCCCGAUCAAGAACUCGAACAAUGGGUUUCUUGGAUAAUUUAGAAAUUUGAAUGGCAUCCAAUGGAGACAAUAAAACUCAAGAAAAGAUCGGUAAAAACAACGAUAAUCCAAAAAAAAAAAAAGAAAAAAAAUGGGCAUCGAAGAGAAGAAAGAGAGACAAACACGCGCAAACCUCCUCAUCUCCACCACGAUUGCUCUCUCACUCUAUCUUGGAACGCCUUCUGCCUCGUCUUCUCAAUUCUACGGGAGAAUUUCGUGGUUGGGAUGGGAAACGGAGGAAAACGGAGAGGAGGAACAGGGGUUAGCAGUGAAGGGACUCCGGGUCGGUUUUAUAAGAAAAGAAUGCAGGUUUAAAAUUCACGCGGCCCGCUAAUGAUCUCGGGUCAGUCGGGUCGGCCCGAUCAAGCAGC
This 2035-nucleotide long non-coding RNA is filed under the name Elaeis guineensis (African oil palm). Its description in RNAcentral is "long non-coding RNA (EGUI_LNC016233)". The record is from RNAcentral. Lineage: Eukaryota; Viridiplantae; Streptophyta; Magnoliopsida; Arecales; Arecaceae.